This 1026-nucleotide long non-coding RNA is filed under the name Malus domestica (apple). RNAcentral describes it as "long non-coding RNA (MDOM_LNC003093)". Lineage: Eukaryota; Viridiplantae; Streptophyta; Magnoliopsida; Rosales; Rosaceae. The record is from RNAcentral.
ACAUGGGUAAGAAAUAGACAAUAGCUCAGUUGUCACAACUUUAAUCAUAUUCCACGUCUCAAUUUAAACUAACAUUCCUCGGUUGACAUGUGAGGAAAAACGCUAUAGCUGAAAAUUGCUAACAAAUUGCCGAUAAAAACUAAUAAGGUCAAGGAUGUCUUGUAUUUCAUAAUAAUUUGUGGGAAUAUCCAAUUUUUUGCAUUUGCAACCUUUUGGAGAAAGAAAAAAAUAUCGUCUGCUGAGAUCACGUAUACCAAGAAAAGUACUUAAUCUAAACAAGGCUACACUUGAGGAAUUUGAUAUAAAGCUGAUUGUCGAUGUUUAGAAAUUUUGAUUUGGUUGCUGAGUAUGUGAGAAAGUCAUCGAUAAGACUACUACGAAUUCAUCAGGCUAAGGAAGAAAACUAGGGCUCUAGAAGUUUGUCAGAGAAGCCAUCAAUUUGAAGUAUGGGUUAACGAUUUUAAUCGUCACCCCGAUUGAGUUGCUAAAAUCUAGGUACAAUACUAAGGUUUAGUUUUUUGCCUUCAUGGAUGGGUUUGAGGUUCCCUAGAUAAAGUGUUUGGUUGGGUAUAUUCCUAAUUGGUAGCUUUUACAACUAAGUUUUCUCGACGAUGUAAAAGUCGUUUGAUAAGAUGCAAAGAAGAUAAGGGUGGUAUUAGAAAGGUGGAUUGAUGAUGUUUCAAUGGUAUCUUAGGUAAAAUUUUGAGAAAAGACGCCAAAGAUAUGCGUCCUCAGAACAUACAAUACUACUUCAUUUCAUUACACCACGUACUAAAGGCCUUCACAACUUUCUCGAUACUCAAUUCACUCUUACAGCGGGAAUUCAACUCGUGCUUCAAUUCUAAUAUUUGUCUGUGGAGGUGAUCAGAAAGGUGAUUGGUCGAGAAUGUUCUGGUUACCUAGAUGGGUAAAAUGGUUAACAUAACUGCGAGUUUACGAUCAUCCUACAAGGCUUGCUUCUAAGUUUCCACUAUUAUAAUUUAUACGGCUCAGGUAGUCACUGUUAACCAAUCUAUUAGUCACGCC